Molecule: ribosomal RNA, 1848 nt
Filed under: Triticum aestivum (bread wheat)
Lineage: Eukaryota; Viridiplantae; Streptophyta; Magnoliopsida; Poales; Poaceae
Description: partial small subunit ribosomal RNA
Source: RNAcentral
AUGAAUGCUUCGGCCCCUCUUCAAGGCAAGCCAAACCGAAGUAGCAAACCCAAAGAAAUUAAGAGUUGUAGGGAGGGGUGCAUUGUUGUCAUGUUUCGAGGAGCAGUCGUGGAUUUCGUGAGAAGUCUCUUCGAGCACGACUCGGCCACACGGAUAUUCAGCAUCGAGCUCUUUGUGGUGACGGCGACUCUGCUUCUGGUGGUGAGGUUCCUUAUCGAUUUGUAUGGGCCCUGGUAUUCAAACUUGUUCAUCGCGCUCGCAGUGAACCAAAUGGAGGGAGUCAACUUCUUCAUGGUGCACUACACUCUGGCCCUGAUGCAGACCUCGGGGGCAAGAGUGAGUGAAUAUUUCCAGGUGUGGGCGGUGCUUCUGGUUACUCUGCAGUACAGCGUCAAGAUUGGGCGCCCGUACAGCAGGUACCAGCAGAUCCCGCUGUCGGACCUCAUGUCCUCCGUCUGGGGAGCCAACAUCCUUUGGUUGCAUACCAGUCCAGAUCUGAAGAUCCCUCUCUGGCUCAUCUGGUGCCUCAACGCGGGGCGCAUCAUCACCUACUUCUGGUCCUCCAGCAAGGCUUCCGCGAGAAACGAAGAUAAUACCAAGUUCAUCAGUGACUACAUGAGUUACGAGCACACACUCAGCGACUCCGUGGAUCCGGCGCCUCACAGGAUGAGUGGGUACAAGUACCUUGUUCUUGGCGACGAGCUGCAGAAUAUCAAAGCUGAGCCUCCCAAGUUCGGGCUUGAAUUGGACCUGAAGCACAACAGGGUUGUCACGGUGGAGAGGAUAUGGCAGCAUGACAAGAGUGGGUUGCUAGGCAGCCACGCUGGAGCUGACCCUGACAACCAACUCAAGGAUGUGUGCCUCUCAUUCGCGCUCUACAAGCUGCUGCGUCGUAGGUUCUACGAUCUCCCCAUCCAUGAGGCCGGGCAUGACAAGACGAGGCGGCUUGUCUUGGACGGCAUCCUGCUGCAGCAAGGCGGCCACGACCACGAGCGGGUGUUCCACAUUGCACAGAGGAUUGACCCAGCAGACCCCAACAGAGUUACUCAUGGGGUGCUGGUCAGCCGAUGCAUCAUUGCCCUUAUCGUCGGCAAAGAGCUAUGUGAGAUCUUUAUGUAUGUAUUCUCACAAUGGACCAAGGUUCUGAUGAUUUGCUGCUACGUCAGAGAUCGGAGAUGGCAGCACCCCGUCGUGGUUGAGCGGAUGAUGAGGGUCAUGUUCUGCUUGAUUUCUUGUAGGGGGAAAUGGAAGGAGGAGAUCGGCCAGUACAACAUCUUGAUUGAUGCCUCCUUCGGAAACAGUUGGAUGAAGCGGUGGAGGAAUACCCUAUUUCCGCCAAGAAUCAAGCUGCCGACACAGGCAAAGAAGGCUAUAAUCCACGUAUUCAGAGGCAUGCAAGACCAAGGGGGACUAAAAUGCUACCUGUCAAGGCUGACACCCCAAUUCUCAUCGGCGCUGGAGGCUGACACCCACAGGAUACUGGUCUGGCAUAUUGCAACCUGCCUAUGUGAGAUCCACCUCUCCACUCAAGUUGAUGGAGGCUGGCCGUUGAUAGCUUCCAAGAUGCGGGCAAGGCCGUUUGUCAACGCAUCAGAUGUCCCAGCUGAUACAUGGGGCCACUACAUGACUGCCGUUAGCCUAUCCAACUAUUGCGGCUACUUGCUUUGUACAGCACUCGUUCCCGAUAAUGGCCUUGUUGUAGACCGUGUAUUGGCUGCCGUCGCUAGGGAAGUCCACCUUGCCACUCGCCGGUGCAGGGGCUUGGAAGACAUCCAUGGCGUGCUACUCCGCGCAGCAGAACGCCGCCAGGAUCCUUGUGAUAAGAAACUGAUCGACAUGGAAUUUUGA